This 494-nucleotide ribosomal RNA is filed under the name uncultured bacterium. RNAcentral's name for it is "partial 16S ribosomal RNA". It matches the Rfam family "Bacterial small subunit ribosomal RNA", at positions 28 to 507 of the family's 1533-position model. The record is from RNAcentral.
GACGAACGCUGGCGGCGUGCUUAACACAUGCAAGUCGAACGGUGAAGCGCCUUCCUUUUUGGUGGGUGUGGAUGAGUGGCGAACGGGUGAGUAACACGUGAGUAACCUGCCCCCUUCUUCUGGAUAACCGCAUGAAAGUGUGGCUAAUACGGGAUAUUCUGGGUCUGUCGCAUGAUGGGUCUGGGAAAGAUAUUGUUUCGGUGGGGGAUGGGCUCGCGGCCUAUCAGCUUGUUGGUGGGGUGAUGGCCUACCAAGGCGGUGACGGGUAGCCGGCCUGAGAGGGUGGACGGUCACACUGGGAAUGAGACACGGGCCAGACUCCUACGGGAGGCAGCAGUGGGGAAUAUUGCACAAUGGGCGCAAGCCUGAUGCAGCGACGCCGCGUGAGGGAUGGAGGCCUUCGGGUUGUGAACCUCUUUCGCCAGUGAAGCAGGCCUGCCUCGUUUGUGGGUGGGUUGACGGUAGCUGGAUAAGAAGCGCCGGCUAACUACGUG